GAGAAAGGACGGUACCCUUGGAAUAAGCGUCGGCUAACUACGUGCCAGCAGCCGCGGUAAUACGGAGGAUGCUAGCGUUAUCCGGAUUUAUUGGGUUUAAAGGGUGCGUAGGCUGGCGGAUAAGUCAGUGGUGAAAUCCUGCAGCUUAACUGUAGAAUUGCCAUUGAUACUGUUCGUCUUGAGUUCGGUUGAGGUAGGCGGAAUGUGUAAUGUAGCGGUGAAAUGCUUAGAUAUUACACAGAACACCGAUUGCGUAGGCAGCUUACUAAGCCGUUACUGACGCUGAGGCACGAAAGCGUGGGGAGCGAACAGGAUUAGAUACCCUGGUAGUCCACGCCGUAAACGAUGAUCACUAGCUGUUGGCGAUACAUUGUCAGCGGCAAAGCGAAAGCAUUAAGUGAUCCACCUGGGGAGUACGGCCGCAAGGUUGAAACUCAAAGGAAUUGACGGGGGCCCGCACAAGCGGUGGAACAUGUGGUUUAAUUCGAUGAUACGCGAGGAACCUUACCUGGGCUUAAAUGUUGGGUGCAUUCCCGGGAAACCGGGAUUCCCUUCGGGGCUUCCAACAAGGUGCUGCAUGGUUGUCGUCAGCUCGUGCCGUGAGGUGUCGGGUUAAGUCCCAUAACGAGCGCAACCCCUAUCGUUAGUUGCCAUCGGGUCAUGCCGGGGACUCUAGCGAAACUGCCGGUGUAAACCGCGAGGAAGGUGGGGAUGACGUCAAAUCAGCACGGCCCUUAUGUCCAGGGCUACACACGUGUUACAAUGGCCGGUACAGAGGGCAGCUACCUGGUGACAGGGUGCAAAUCUCGAAAGCCGGUCCUAGUUCGGAUUGGAGUCUGCAACUCGACUUCAUGAAGCUGGAAUCGCUAGUAAUCGCGCAUCAGCCAUGGCGCGGUGAAUACGUUCCCGGGCCUUGUACACACCGCCCGUCAAGCCAUGGAAGCCGGGGGUACCUGAAGUCUGCAACCGCGAGGAGCGGCAUAGGGUAAAACUGUAACUGGGGCUA
This 1006-nucleotide ribosomal RNA is filed under the name uncultured organism. RNAcentral describes it as "bacterial SSU rRNA". It matches the Rfam family "Bacterial small subunit ribosomal RNA", at positions 464 to 1483 of the family's 1533-position model. The record is from RNAcentral.